RNAcentral lists this transfer RNA (69 nucleotides) under Ichthyaetus relictus (relict gull). RNAcentral's name for it is "tRNA-Met". Lineage: Eukaryota; Metazoa; Chordata; Aves; Charadriiformes; Laridae. The record is from RNAcentral. RNAcentral also lists the same sequence under 2 other names.
AGUAAGGUCAGCUAACAAAGCUAUCGGGCCCAUACCCCGAAAAUGAAGGUCUAACCCCCUCCCUUACUA